AGUGGUUCUCAACCUUCUGGCCCUUUAAAUACAGUUCCUCAUGUUGUGACCCAACCAUAAAAUUAUUUUCAUUGCUACUUCAUAACUGUAAUGUUGCUACUGUUAUGAAUCGUCAUGUAAAUAUCUGAUACGCAGGAUGGUCUUUAGGCGAUCCCUGUGAAAGAGUUGUUCGACCGCCAAAGGGGUCUCAACCCACAGUUGAGAACCGCUGGUCUAGAACAAGCAUGUCAAACUUGAGGCCCACAACAAAUACUCAUUAACAAUUACUCAUUUAUUUCAGCCCUUUGUAUUCAGUGUGUCUCUAUUGAAAUAAACCCACGUUUCUAUAAAAAUUGAAGCUUUUGGUUUUUUGCAGCCCACAUAAACUUAAACCCUGUUUAUUUGGCCCGUGUUAGCCUUUGAUUUGCCCACGGCUGGUCUAGAACCUCAGUUUUCAUGUACAUUAUUGAACUCCAUUUAUUUCUCUUCUCUCUUUUUGGAGUUGCCAGUGUUCUUGUAUCCAGAACACUGUCCACAGCCGACCAAAUCAGCUUUUCUUAGUCAGUUUCCUGCUCAUGUAGAUACGUCAGGGUGCUGCAAAAAUGUCUUUACUGUGUGUUAACUUCCUUCUGUAAAUUAAUUCCCCAAGAGAGCAGAAAUACUGAAAAUCCAUGAUAAAGUAAAGAGAGAGAAAAUGAGAUACUUGGAAAUGUGCAUUAGUGGUACAGUCCAAGAAGUACUAUAUGUCCCACCGAAGUUAUAGGUGCAUUUUAGAUUGGAAAUAUUUGAAAAAAAACAAAACACUACCCUGAGGACUAAUUUAAAUUAAAACAAGAUUUAAUACUUAUUUUUAGAAUUAUUCAAAUUGACAGAUUCCUGCCUGGCUGGUGUGGCUCGGUAAAUGAGAGUCAGCCUGUGAACUAGAAGGUCACCGUUCGAUUCCUGGUCAGGGCAUAUGCCUGGGUUGUGGGCUCAAUCAAUGAUUCUCUCUUUCUUCACUGAUACUUCUAUCUCUCUCUCCCUUCCUCUCUGUAACCAAUAAAAAAUGUAUAUAUAUAUCUAUAUCACCCCAAAAGUUUUCUCAUGCUUUUAUGUAAUCUAUCUUCCACCUGUCCCUUUCGAGGCAUUCCCAGGCAACCACCGAUUGACUUUCUGUCACUAUAGAUUAGUAUUCGUGUUCCCUUGUUGAUUUAGUGCACAUGUUCUAGAAUUUUAUAUAAAUAGUCAUAAAUAGUAUUGCUCCUUUUUUGGUCUGGCUUCAUUCAGCAUAAGAUUUUUGAGGUUAAUUUGUAUUAUGUGUGUAUUUCGUUUAUUCCUUGUUAUUGCUGGGUAAUAUGCCAUUUGUGUGUGUGUGUGUGUGUGUGUGU
Myotis daubentonii (Daubenton's bat) is the source of this 1346-nucleotide long non-coding RNA. RefSeq lists it as uncharacterized. NCBI's taxonomy places the organism in Eukaryota, Metazoa, Chordata, Mammalia, Chiroptera, Vespertilionidae. The record is from RefSeq and is a predicted model, not a curated record. The transcript has 3 exons.